RNAcentral lists this ribosomal RNA (305 nucleotides) under uncultured bacterium. Its description in RNAcentral is "bacterial SSU rRNA". It matches the Rfam family "Bacterial small subunit ribosomal RNA", at positions 338 to 640 of the family's 1533-position model. The record is from RNAcentral.
CCUACGGGGGGCAGCAGUGAGGAAUAUUGGUCAAUGGGCGGAAGCCUGAACCAGCCAAGUCGCGUGAGGGAAUAAGGCCCUACGGGUCGUAAACCUCUUUUGCCGGGGAGCAAGGGCCGGGACGCGUCCCGGCCCGGAGAGUACCCGGAGAAAAAGCAUCGGCUAACUCCGUGCCAGCAGCCGCGGUAACACGGAGGAUGCGAGCGUUAUCCGGAUUUAUUGGGUUUAAAGGGUGCGUAGGCGGGCCUUUAAGUCAGCGGUAAAAAUUCGGGGCUCAACCCCGUCCGGCCGUUGAAACUGGGGGC